Phoenix dactylifera (date palm) is the source of this 2657-nucleotide long non-coding RNA. RefSeq lists it as uncharacterized. NCBI's taxonomy places the organism in Eukaryota, Viridiplantae, Streptophyta, Magnoliopsida, Arecales, Arecaceae. The record is from RefSeq and is a predicted model, not a curated record.
CUCACUUUCUCCCUUCAAAAGUUAAAGGAAACAAAAACCAAAAAACAGAAGGGAAAAAAAAAAACCAGCUACCGAGACACCUGAGGUAUCAACGGUGUAAUAGAUCGAAAGAGAAUCCUGACGGGCCGAGGUUCCUUUAGAUUCCGUGAACGUAUGCUUGUUGCUGUCCUUCCACAUUUGAACCCUACUCCCCUUAGGCUUUUCUUUUGCUUUUCCCCCUCUCUCUCUCUCUUAGGGUCCAUUCAGAUUGGAUCGGGUCCGUUCAAUAAAUCCAAAUUUGAUCUAGAAAAUAAUUCGAGUUCAAUUUUAGGAUCCGACCCGGAUCCGCAGAUCCAAAAAUUCAGAUCGGAUCGAAUCUACGUAGGUCGGAUCGGAUUACGGGUUGACCUGAUCCAUUUGCAGCCUUACCUACGAGUGAUAUCAUGUGAGUUGAUGUCCAAGAUCAGCUUUCUAACCCGACCCGACCCAUUUCCUGCGUUACGUACGAGUGACGUCAUGUGAGUUGACAUCCAAGAUCAGCUUUCUUCCAGCCAUCUUCAUGCUUCGAAUCUCCUCAAGUGAUCCAGACCAGAACUUGCCACUAGUACCCCUACCCCUUGCUUCCUGAACCUCUUUGUUAUGGCAUAUGUUCUCCAUGUAAGAUAUACCAUUCCCCUCCAAAGGCUAGAGAUCAGUACCACCACUAAGGCGCCCAGCACCAAUCCAAGAUUGCUCAUCUCCCUACAAGAAGAAGCUCAAAGUUAGAACCCAGCCCAAAUCUUCAAAACUUAGUUGCUUGCAGCCAUAGCAUGCAAAGGAGCAGCAAUUCGGGGAUCUGGAAAUCAGUUUGAGCAAAGAAAACUUCGACAGCCGACCUUUGAUACCUUCCUGAAGGAUAUAGUAACAUUAGAGGAAGAUUGCUAUCAUCCUACUAGAUAUCAGAAUAUGUCAUGUUGUGGAGGCAUAUCUAAGUAAAACAAAAUAGUGAUUCUAUUGAUUCAAAUGAUACACAAUUUUAGUCCAUUUAACAUCCAUGAUAUUUAAGUUUGAAUGCUGAAGAUGGCAACAGCAAUGAGCGCAGUCAAUCAAAAUAUUUUUCAGGCAUGUGUCCAAAUUGAAAGCAAUGGUGAUCACUCUUUCACUAGUCGAUGAUAAUUAGCUUUUAAGUGCACGCUAUGACCGAAGAUUUGAAUCAUGCAAAGGAUCAACUCAGCCAUGUUGUUUCCUCACCAGCCAAAGCUUGAAGGGAAGAAACGAUCUCAAAUGGCAAUCAGAGUGCGGAGGGCUUGCUUAAGACCUUUACAUGAAGGCUCGGAAAUGAACUUGCUCCGACCCAUGUGCCCACGCCCAAGUCUGGUCCGAGCCCAGGCCUUCUCUUACAUAACAAACCUAUUAAAAAAAUCAUGUUCCAGAGGAGACGGGAGGGCGACGAAGAAAAAGAGAAAUAGCAGGCUGUAACACGAAGGUGAGUAUUGCAGUGAAAUACGAGGUUGACACUAAGAUCAUCCAUAUUCAUCUUUAGAUCCUAAGUAUGUUUGAUAACCUUUUGGACCAAAUCUUAUUUUGUUUAUCUUUUAUUUUCUUUUUAUGUUCAAUAAAAAAGCAAUUCUAUCAUGUAUUCUUCGAUCCAAUGAUAAUCCAUCAAUCCAUCUAAUGCUGCUUGCUUAACCUACUCUAAUAGUUCUCUAGUGAAAAAUUAUUUACAUGCUUCUCGUAUCUUUGUUUGGAUUCAAAACUUUGAUAAUAGUAUCACUAAUUUUUUUAUUGUCCUUCUUUGGAAACCAAGACAGCCAACCCUAAAUUAUUUGUCUAGCAUGCAAACUUGCAAUGGUUUAUGCUUUACUAAAAAUAAAUAAUAAUAGGCAUGCAACUUAUAAAGUUAAUUAGGGGCACAUGUUUUUUUAUUAACAAUAGACCAUACAUGGAUAAGGUUGUUCCAAGAUAAGUAUUAGAGGGCUCCACCAAAUGCUGCGCAAUCAUGUGAAUCCUAGCCUUAGUUACCUGAUCUGGGAAGAUGUGUGGGAAUGGGUUUGUAUGCUAGUGAAGGGAAGUGGAUCUACAAGAAGUUUCGAGUAAAAAGCACCUAAGAAGCAAGUGCAAAUGCAAACUCUUAAGAGAUUUCAAAGUGGGUGUCUCAGAUGUCUCUUUCUACUAAGGUCAAACCUCUAUUAACUAAUUGCCUUUGUGACAUACAUGGGAAAAGACCACAUGAGUAUGGCCAAGCAACUUCUUAACCUUUUUCACUUUUUGUGUUUUGGGGGUGGGGGAGGGUAUGGGGGAGGGGGUAAUAAAUAUUUGUGCUGCACCUUAGCCAUAUUAUCUAAUAUUCUAUCAUUUUUAAAAAAGUCUUUCUUUCAGUUGAUAAAGUGAUCAUUGAAAUUACUUUGACAAGUUUUAUCCUCCUCCAAUCUAAUCUUUCUUUUUACUUUCUAAUGCACAUUUAAGGAUUUUUUAGGACUAAUUUAUCAACUUUGUUGUCAUUAAAAUAUUUCUCUUUCUUUUAGUUGAUAAACUCAUUAAUUAAGGUACUUGGCAUGUUUGACCUCUGCCAAGAUAGGCUGGUUCCUCAAGAAAUGCCCUCUUCAUGGUCAUUACAUUUAGACCUUAUUUUGUGCCUUCAAACUUCUUUUUAUAUUUGAACACAUUUUAGUCCACCUUCCACAUAUAGAUUUAAACCA